GGGGAAUAUUGCGCAAUGGGGGAAACCCUGACGCAGCGACGCCGCGUGGAGGAAGAAGGCCUUUGGGUUGUAAACUCCUUUGAUCGGGGACGAAGAUGACGGUACCCGAAGAACAAGCCACGGCUAACUACGUGCCAGCAGCCGCGGUAAUACGUAGGUGGCGAGCGUUGUCCGGAAUUACUGGGUGUAAAGGGUGCGUAGGCGGGAUGAUAAGUCAGCGGUGAAAGUUUGAGGCUCAACCUUAAAAUUGCCGUUGAAACUGUCUUUCUUGAGUAUAUUUGAAGUAGGCGGAAUUCGUGGUGUAGCGGUGAAAUGCAUAGAUAUCACGAAGAACUCCAAUUGCGAAGGCAGCUUACUAAACUAUAACUGACGCUGAAGCACGAAAGCGUGGGUAUCAAACAGGA
Molecule: ribosomal RNA, 404 nt
Filed under: uncultured bacterium
Lineage: Bacteria
Description: bacterial SSU rRNA
Rfam family: Bacterial small subunit ribosomal RNA
Source: RNAcentral